GACGAACGUUGGCGGCGUGCUUAAUACAUGCAAGUCCACUGAAGCAGUGGUAGCAAUAUCGCUGUGGAGGUGGCGCACGGGUGAGUAACACGUAGGUAAUCUGCCUUCAGGUCUGGCAUAACUCCGGGAAACCGGGGCUAAUAGCAGAUGAUGCAGCGGCUCGACAUCGAGACAGUUGUUAAAGCUAUGGCGCCUGAAGAUGAGCCUGCGUCUGAUUAGCUAGUUGGCGGGGUAACGGCCCACCAAGGCAACGAUCAGUAGCUGGUCUGAGAGGAUGAUCAGCCACACUGGAACUGAGACACGGUCCAGACUCCUACGGGAGGCAGCAGUAAGGAAGAUUGCUCAAUGGGAGAAAUCCUGAAGCAGCAACGCCGCGUGAGGGACGAAGGGCUUUUGCUUGUAAACCUCUGUAGUGAGAGAAAAAAAUCCCAAUCUUUGGGACACGAUGGUAUCUCAAAAGUAAGCCCCGGCUAACUACGUG
RNAcentral lists this ribosomal RNA (481 nucleotides) under uncultured bacterium. RNAcentral's name for it is "partial 16S ribosomal RNA". It matches the Rfam family "Bacterial small subunit ribosomal RNA", at positions 28 to 507 of the family's 1533-position model. The record is from RNAcentral.